Molecule: ribosomal RNA, 375 nt
Filed under: uncultured bacterium
Lineage: Bacteria
Description: bacterial SSU rRNA
Rfam family: Bacterial small subunit ribosomal RNA
Source: RNAcentral
UGAACGCUGGCGGCAUGCCUUACACAUGCAAGUCGAACGGUAACGCGGGGCAACCUGGCGACGAGUGGCGAACGGGUGAGUAAUACAUCGGAACGUGCCCAGUAGUGGGGGAUAGCCCGGCGAAAGCCGGAUUAAUACCGCAUACGACCUACGGGUGAAAGGGGGGAUCGCAAGACCUCUCGCUAUUGGAGCGGCCGAUGUCAGAUUAGGUAGUUGGUGGGGUAAAAGCCCACCAAGCCAACGAUCUGUAGCUGGUCUGAGAGGACGACCAGCCACACUGGGACUGAGACACGGCCCAGACUCCUACGGGAGGCAGCAGUGGGGAAUUUUGGACAAUGGGCGCAAGCCUGAUCCAGCCAUGCCGCGUGCGGGAAG